Molecule: ribosomal RNA, 490 nt
Filed under: Candida tropicalis
Lineage: Eukaryota; Fungi; Ascomycota; Pichiomycetes; Serinales; Debaryomycetaceae
Description: eukaryotic LSU rRNA
Rfam family: 5.8S ribosomal RNA (bases 127-280)
Source: RNAcentral
UUGCACCACAUGUGUUUUUUAUUGAACAAAUUUCUUUGGUGGCGGGAGCAAUCCUACCGCCAGAGGUUAUAACUAAACCAAACUUUUUAUUUACAGUCAAACUUGAUUUAUUAUUACAAUAGUCAAAACUUUCAACAACGGAUCUCUUGGUUCUCGCAUCGAUGAAGAACGCAGCGAAAUGCGAUACGUAAUAUGAAUUGCAGAUAUUCGUGAAUCAUCGAAUCUUUGAACGCACAUUGCGCCCUUUGGUAUUCCAAAGGGCAUGCCUGUUUGAGCGUCAUUUCUCCCUCAAACCCCCGGGUUUGGUGUUGAGCAAUACGCUAGGUUUGUUUGAAAGAAUUUAACGUGGAAACUUAUUUUAAGCGACUUAGGUUUAUCCAAAACGCUUAUUUUGCUAGUGGCCACCACAAUUUAUUUCAUAACUUUGACCUCAAAUCAGGUAGGACUACCCGCUGAACUUAAGCAUAUCAAUAAGCGGGGAAAAAGAAAA